CAUAUCUCCAGAUAUUUUUCAUGGCUCUAGGCUCUUAGCUCUCUCUUUCGCCAGCUUUCUCUCAGUCCAAUUUCGUUGUCUUUUUCUCAUGAAGCAGAUCCUCUCUUUUCCUUCGCGUUUCGGUUCUUCUCUUUCUCUGUUUCUUCAGCCACCGAUUACUAUUAUAUUGUCCGCCUGAGAUUGUAUUUUCUUGACCUUGGGUUUGCAUCCCUGUUUUUUCCAAGCGUAUAUUUUCGCACUGCAAGAACCUUUUCUUUGGAGCACAUGAAUGAACUUGAGUCGAUUUCAUUUUGGAUCCGCUUGGCUGCCGAGAAUCUUAUCCCAGACACGUUGCUAGCCAUAGCUAGCUCGGCUGCUCAUAAGAUAACAAUCCAGGAAAACCGGGUUUGUUUCAAAGCAAGAGUUGUCUUCAGCCAUCAGAUGAGGAUUAGGAUCGAAAACUUCCAAGGAAAUAUGGUGCCCUCCUUUGAAUAUGGAUGGGCAAGGCCACACAACGUCCGCCCACUGCAAGCUGGGAAAAGGGCGAGGGAUAGAAAAUUUGCCAGAAUUGGGCUGGUAUCAGCCAUAAAAUAAGAUAAUAGUUAAAAGAAAGCGGAUUUUGAUUCAAAGCACAGACGGUCUCCAGCCAUCAGAGAUCAUUAAAUCACUUCUUGAAGUUGCGUGCAUAACAUGGUGCAGAUUAGAACAAGAAGGAAGGUACAGCAUUACUUUGUUUUUUGAUGUUCUUCAUUGAACUGAAAUGUGCAGUUUUGUUCCCAGAGUAUUUUGUUUGAGAUGCUUAUGUUGUUAUGCUUGUCUAUAAGUUCUAAUCUUACUUGGAAGUACAUGUUGGUGUUGGUUUUUAGUUAUAUUUUUUCACCUGUCCUAUUUACCAAAAAGAUUACUAUUAUCAACCUUUUAGUCAGUUUGCUUCUUUCGAGGAUAAGACUUAAAGUCUGCUAAAAGACAGUUCACAUGCAAUCCAUUUCAAUUAGUCUUAGUACAGUUAAUCUUAUAAAGCUACAUAAGUAUCUG
Long non-coding RNA from Juglans microcarpa x Juglans regia, 1014 nucleotides. RefSeq lists it as uncharacterized. NCBI's taxonomy places the organism in Eukaryota, Viridiplantae, Streptophyta, Magnoliopsida, Fagales, Juglandaceae. The record is from RefSeq and is a predicted model, not a curated record. The transcript has 6 exons.